RNAcentral lists this ribosomal RNA (305 nucleotides) under uncultured bacterium. RNAcentral's name for it is "bacterial SSU rRNA". It matches the Rfam family "Bacterial small subunit ribosomal RNA", at positions 334 to 631 of the family's 1533-position model. The record is from RNAcentral.
UGGCCCUACGGGGCGCAGCAGUAGGGAAUUUUCGUCAAUGGGCGCAAGCCUGAACGAGCAAUGCCGCGUGAACGAGGAAGGUCUUCGGAUCGUAAAGUUCUGUUGAAGGGGAAAAAGAGCGGAGAGAGGAAAUGGUCUCCGAUUGAUAUUACCCUUCGAGGAAGUCACGGCUAACUACGUGCCAGCAGCCGCGGUAAUACGUAGGUGGCGAGCGUUAUCCGGAAUGAUUGGGCGUAAAGGGAGCGUAGGCGGUAAGGCAAGUCUGAUGUGAAAGGCCAGGGCUCAACCCUGGGACUGCAUUGGAA